This 69-nucleotide transfer RNA is filed under the name Homogryllacris parcibrevipenna. RNAcentral describes it as "tRNA-Met". Lineage: Eukaryota; Metazoa; Arthropoda; Insecta; Orthoptera; Gryllacrididae. The record is from RNAcentral.
AAAAAGAUAAGCUAAAAUGAAGCUAAUGGGUUCAUACCCCGCUUAUAGAGAUAAGUCCUCUUCUUUUUG